CGUUGAUAGUGAUAUGGUUGGUGUCUUAGAAGAAUUUUAUUUCCUUUCGAGGAAUAAAUAUAGGAAUAGAAUGGCAGCAAUACCUGCAAACUCCUCUCAAUUUUCAACAUUCUUCCUGGGUUCAUAUGGCAGGUGGUUAUAAUGGACGACGGAUGCAUCUUUCCGGCAGUGAGACGAAGAAUAAUGAGAUAGGAAAAAGUGGAAGGCAGAAGAAAUGGGUGCUGAAGAAGAUGCUUUCGUGGGUGUGGAGGAAGAUAACUUUGAACAACACCAAGAAGCACGAAGCUCCUCCUCCUAUUAUGUCUUAUAAUGUCUUGUAAUUCAUUUGUUUCCCUU
Molecule: small RNA, 336 nt
Filed under: Vigna angularis var. angularis
Lineage: Eukaryota; Viridiplantae; Streptophyta; Magnoliopsida; Fabales; Fabaceae
Description: Non-protein coding transcript
Source: RNAcentral